RNAcentral lists this ribosomal RNA (430 nucleotides) under uncultured bacterium. RNAcentral's name for it is "bacterial SSU rRNA". It matches the Rfam family "Bacterial small subunit ribosomal RNA", at positions 355 to 776 of the family's 1533-position model. The record is from RNAcentral.
UAGGGAAUAUUACACAAUGGGCGCAAGCCUGAUGCAGCGACGCCGCGUGAGUGAAGAAGGCCUUCGGGUCGUAAAGCUCUUUUAUCUGGGAAGUAGGGCUACUUUGUAAACAACAAAGUGGUUUGACUGUACCAGAGGAAUAAGCACCGGCUAACUCCGUGCCAGCAGCCGCGGUAAUACGGAGGGUGCAAGCGUUGUUCGGAAUUACUGGGCGUAAAGCGCACGUAGGCGGAUCCGUAAGUCGAUUGUGAAAGCCCCGGGCUUACCCUGGGAUGUGCAGUCGAAACUACGGACCUUGAAUACCGGAGAGGGUGGGGGAAUUCCUGGUGUAGAAGUGAAAUUCGUAGAUAUCAGGAGGAACAUCGGAGGCGAAGGCGCCUACCUGGUCGUGUAUUGACGCUGAGGUGCGAAAGCGUGGGGAGCAAACAGG